AACGAACGCUGGCGGCAGGCCUAACACAUGCAAGUCGAGCGGACCCUUCGGGGUUAGCGGCGGAAGGGUGAUUAACGCGUGGUAAGAUGCUCUUCUCCACGGAAUAAUCCUGGGAAACUGGGGGUAAUAACGUAUGCGCCCUUUGGGGGAAAGAUUUAUCGGGGAAGGAUCAGCCCGCGUUGGAUUAGGUAGUUGGUUGGGUAAUGGCCUACCAAGCCGACGAUCCAUAGCUGGUUUGAGAGGAUGAUCAGCCACACUGGGACUGAGACACGGCCCAGACUCCUACGGGAGGCAGCAGUGGGGAAUCUUAGACAAUGGGGGCAACCCUGAUCUAGCCAUGCCGCGUGAGUGAUGAAGGCCUUAGGGUUGUAAAGCUCUUUCAGCCGGGAAGAUAAUGACGGUACCAGCAGAAGAAGCCCCGGCUAACUCCGUG
Molecule: ribosomal RNA, 433 nt
Filed under: uncultured bacterium
Lineage: Bacteria
Description: partial 16S ribosomal RNA
Rfam family: Bacterial small subunit ribosomal RNA
Source: RNAcentral